GACGAACGCUGGCGGCGUGCUUAACACAUGCAAGUCGAACGGAAAGGCCCUGCUUUUGUUGGGUGCUCGAUUGGCGAACGCGUGAGUAACACGCGUGUAUCCUGCCCUUGUCUUUGUGAUAACUUCACGAAACUGGGGCUCAUACCGCAUAGGAGCUCCUGCUGCAUGGUGGGGGUUGGAAAGUUUCGGCGGUUGGGGCUGGACUCGCGGCUUAUCAGCUUGUUGGUGUGGUAGUGGCUUACCAAGGCUUUGACGGGUAGCCGGCCUGGGAGGGUGACCGGCCACAUUGGGACUGAGGUACGGCGCAGACGCCUACGGGAGGCAGCAGUGGGGAAUAUUGCACAAUGGGGGGAAGCCUGAUGCAGCAAUGCCGCGUGCGGGAUGAUGGGUUACGGGUUGUAAACCGAUUUCGCAGGAGAUGAAGAGUGAGUGACGGUAAUGGGUAAAGAAGCACCGGCUAACUACGUG
This 468-nucleotide ribosomal RNA is filed under the name uncultured bacterium. Its description in RNAcentral is "partial 16S ribosomal RNA". It matches the Rfam family "Bacterial small subunit ribosomal RNA", at positions 28 to 507 of the family's 1533-position model. The record is from RNAcentral.